GUUUUCUAGCGCCUCUGGUGGGCCGCCUCCCGCAGGCCUGGUGUGAGCCUGGGGUCCGUUCUCACAGCUGGAUCUGGGGUCUGAAUGCCGCGCCCUCUGGAGAGCCACAGAUGGGUCUCCGCUGAUGCUUCUCUCAAUUUCCUCUAAGAGCGAGAGCUCCGGGAAAGGAGCCGAUCCUGGUGGAAGACUACAGGUCUGAGUCCACUGGACGAAAAACGAGGCUCCUUGGAUUAGAGACCAUCCUGAGGACAUCCUUGGGAGCCAUGUGCUGAAGAUGGCCAAGCCACAGGAUGAAAGGAGCUGCAUCUUUGAGUCACCACUGGAGAAAGGUCUCUCUAAAUGGAUUUGCAGAGACGUCUUCUCGAAUACUCCCCUUCUAAGUUCCACUUGUAAUCCACUUCUUCUAUUCUCCCAGCAAUCAAUGUGGUUUGGGGAAAUUCCAGAAUCUCAUAUCACGCAGUACACAUUUGUCUUCCAUGGGCUUCAGUUGUAAGAGAACCCUUUCUACUCUUUGCUGUUCACAAGUCUCCUUUUAAACAGAGCUUGUUCCCAAUGCUGUUUUGUUUUGCCCUCUGCCAUGUUCUUCCGGCCAUCACCUCCUGUGGGGAAAAGAGAGAGAGAUCACAUUGUUACUGUGUCUGUGUAGAAAGAAGUAGACAUAGGAGACUCCAUUUUGUUCUGUACUAAGAAAAAUUCUUCUGCCUUGAGAUGCUGUUAAUCUAACCCUAGCCCCAACCCUGUGCUCCCUGAGACAUAUGCUGUGUCAACUCAGGGUUAAAUGGAUUAAGGGCUGUGCAAGAUGUGCUUUGUUAAAGAAAUGCUUGAAGGCAGCAUGCUCGUUAAGAGUCAUCUCCACUCCCUAAUCUCAAGUACUCAGGGACACAAAACACUGAGGAAGGCCACAGGGACCUCUGCCUAGGAAAGCCAGGUAUUGUCCAAGGUUUCUCCCCAUGUGAUAGUCUGAAAUGUGGCCUCGUGGGAAGGGAAAGACCUGACCGUCCCCCAGCCCGACACCCGUAAAGGGUCUGUGCUGAGGAGGAUUAGUAAAAGAGGAAGGAACGCCUCUUUGCAGUUGAGACAAGAGGAAGGCAUCUGUCUCCUGCUCGUCCCUGGGCAAUGGAAUGUCUCAGUGUAAAACCCGAUUGUAUAUUCCAUCUACUGAGAUAGGGGAAAACUGCCUUAGGGCUGGAGGUGGGACAUGCUGGCAGCAAUACUGCUCUUCAAGUCAUUGAGAUGUUUAUGUGUAUGCAUAUCUAAAGCACAGCACUUAAUUCUUUACCUUGUUUAUGAUGCAGAGACCUUUGUUCACGUGUUUACCUGCUGACCUUCUCUCCACUAUUAUCCUUUGACCCUGCCACAUCCCCCUCUCCGAGAAACACCCAAUAAUGAUCAAUAAAUACUAAGGGAACUCAGAGGCCGGUGGGAUCCUCCGUAUGCUGAACACCGGUCCCCUGGACCCCUUUUUUUCUUUCUCUAUACUUUGUCUCUGUGUCUCUUUCUUUUCCAAGUCUCUCAUUCCACCUAACGAGAAACAACCACAGGUGUGGAGGGGCAGCCCAACCCUUCAACCUACCUAUCUUAUCUCUUCCAUUAUCUAUCCACAUAUGUCCUCUGUAUUUUUUUGAGUAACAUUUAUAAGCAUAAGUCCUUAGGUAGCUAUGCCACUUACAUAAUGAACUAGAAAAGGUAACCAAACAGAAUAGGGUUGUACUCAGAUAUACCUUCUACAAGUUUGUGUUACACAUAUUUACACAUAUUUAAAAAUAUAUACAUAUUAUUAUUGUGCUGUGUGGUUAUUAGGCAAACUCAAUAAGCAGUUCUUAUAAAGUAUACUCAAUGUAACUUUUAUAAACUUACCA
Molecule: long non-coding RNA, 1859 nt
Filed under: Homo sapiens (human)
Lineage: Eukaryota; Metazoa; Chordata; Mammalia; Primates; Hominidae
Description: non-protein coding lnc-TRIM38-2:5
Source: RNAcentral